Molecule: long non-coding RNA, 213 nt
Filed under: Manihot esculenta (cassava)
Lineage: Eukaryota; Viridiplantae; Streptophyta; Magnoliopsida; Malpighiales; Euphorbiaceae
Description: long non-coding RNA (MESC_LNC000429)
Source: RNAcentral
UUGUGUUAAGGUUAAUGGAAGUGAGUUUUGAGUUGAAAUGAACCAAGGCAGAGGAGCCAAGUUCGGCCGCCGAAGAUAAGUUCGGCCGCCGAAAGUGCUCAAGAUGCGGCUUCCGAAUUCAGGUUCGGCCCCCGAAUGUUGCAUGGUUUUGCAUGCGAUUCGGCAGCCGAAGCUGAGUUGCUUAGCCAGCAGUUUGGUAUCCCUUAGUCAGCA